Molecule: long non-coding RNA, 4641 nt
Organism: Prinia subflava (tawny-flanked prinia)
Lineage: Eukaryota; Metazoa; Chordata; Aves; Passeriformes; Cisticolidae
Exons: 3
Source: RefSeq, a predicted model, not a curated record
UCAGCCAACCAGUUAGGACAGAAGUUGUCUGGGCAAACAUUCUAAGAAAAUUCUCUACAUAUGGUGAACACAGUGGAAACAGCUUGUUCCUGUACAACCCUGACAUGGGAACUUCAUACAGUAAUUGUUCAGACAUAUCUCAGUUUGUGUUCUAAGGCAAGCUACAUGUGUUUAGAACAGUAUUUUUUUAAAGAUCAGACAUGCAAACAUCAGAUAUGCAAAUUUAUUUUUUUUUUAAGAUCAGACAUGCAAACCUCAGAUAUUGUUGCUCUGAUUAAUUAUAUUACUCCGAUCUCAUGCCUAAAUGCAUAAAAGUGCAAUGUUAAGGUACACACUGACCUCGCAACUUCCUUGGAAUGUGGUGGUAGCAACAGACACUCCAUCUAAAAUUGAGCAACAGCUAUCUCACGUGCCCUUCUCAGAUUUCUCAGAGUUUAACAUUUAUAUACAAUUUAUAUACAAAUGCAGAUAUAAAUAGCAAGCAUUUAUGUCAGUCUUACUGUGUCACUUAACUGAAUACAAAGUCAAUGCUUGUAUUACCUAGACCAGCUAUGCUGGGUCUGCCAAAGGCCCAUCUAGCCCUGUGCCCUGUCUUCAACGCUUGCCAAAACUGAAUACCUGGGGAUAUCUAAGCAACAGAAUAAAAACAUGGGACAAUACAUAAUGAUGGCUCCAUAAAAUACAAUAGAGCUUCCAACAAUCUGCAGCUUGUGGACUUCCAAACUUUCUGCCUGCUAAUUUGAUGCCUCCUCGUUCCAAAAGUGUGAGUGAGAAGAUGAGUGAGUUGCAAUACCCCAGGAGGAGAGGCAGACUCUGCAAAGGACAGAAUCAGCGUUCAAAAUCUACAGGAGCUCAGGCUGGGAAAGGACACAAAAUCAACUACCCUAACUCAUCAGGAACAUGCUAUAUUUGACAAGCCAAGUGUAUAAAUGCAAAAUGGGAAACAACUCAUUAAACAAGCAGUGCAGUGGAAAAAAAGAAUACUUCUACUUGAGUUAUUUGCAAGUCUUAAAAAAAAAUCUAUGCCUGAGAUGCAUUUACAAGACAUUUACCAUACAGAGCCAUGUCUUACCACAAGCCAUGUCUUUUACAUGAUACUCAUAAGUGUUUACUGAUAUUGCUCAGUUUGAGCAUUGCUCAGAGCAAUACAGAUACUCACACACAAAUAAUGACAGUUUCUGAAAACAUAACUGAGUUAGAAUAUAUCCUUGUAUAAAAACAGUUAAAGCAGCCCCAGUACAAUUCUGCUGGUCCUUUGUUUCUGCCCUUACUUCUUCAGAAGUUGCUCUUCUUAUAGCCAAGAUAAUGUUCAACCUUUAUGUUCAGCUAAUAGGGACAGAAGACAAGUAAGGCUUACAGAAAUAGGAAUGCAAUGUUUUUUGGUAAUUGUAAAGAAAUGGCACAAUUCCAACAUUUUCUCCUCAUCUCUUCUGUGCACCCUCUGUAAUGGAAGGUGAGUUGAGCUUCUGGGGACAAGGAAGAGAGGAAAAUGCCUUGUGAUUGCUAAGACAGAAUUGAGCUAUAACCAAAUUACUAGAGAGUAGUACAGAGAGUAGGCCUGACUUCAAAACUUUGCAAACCACUCUAUGGGAGAAGAAAUUGGUUAUGUGCACUACAUAUUAUUUCUGGCAAAUAUAAGAAAAAUACCAAGCCAAACAAGCCAACUAUUUCUACCAGUGAGAUGCAUGACACCUACAAAUGCUGUGCAACAUCCCUUAUUUCCCCUCCCCUUAAAAAAAAGAACCGACCAACCACCAACCUUUUCCUGUAAUUGUAUAGAAAAAGGUAUUAAACAGUUUUUAGACUAAGUGUGACACUUCUGCCAAAGUUACAGCAUUUCUAGUGAAGUAUUAGUUUUUGCUCCUGUAAGAAAAAAUUUACCAGUAUUUUGAUUUUAUCAUGUAUCAAUAUAAACCAAACAAAUCCAGCAGAAUCCAUUAUUUGGAAAGGUAGCUAACAAUUUGGAAAUAACUAGUCAGAAAGCAGGAAUAAGGUUGCACAAUAUUAAUAAAAAAAAAAAUCGAAGCAUUGAGAACUCUUUGCAAUGUAGACAAUUCUUUCUGCAAUCUGCAGAAGGUUUGAUCAUUUAUGUGCUUUAGAAAAAAAAAACCACCACACAUAUCGCUGCCUGAGGUGAGGCAACACAUUAUAUAAAACAAAGGACAAUUACAAUCUGGUAGUUGAACAGUACAGUGGCUACUGAAAAAGUACGUGUUUAGGCUGCAAAUAAAACUCAAUUUCCAUUUGCUUUCCAAAGUAUGCAUCCAUUUCUGAAGGACUGCAGCAACUUUUAUAUAUUAAGAACAUUUGGGGAAACCGUAUUUGAAGCAGAAUUGUUUGAGGUGUUUUAUUCAGCCACAUACAUCUUCCAACACAAACUCAUACGAAUAUAUGAGCCAAGAUGAACAGAACAGCAACCACUAUGAAAUACCAAGGCUGGAAGUCUGAGUACUGAAGAUGCCUUCAGAUUGUGUUGAAAUAACUGAAGAAGUAAGUAUGUGCUCUCUGGAGCCUAUUUUUAUUUAUCUGUUAGGCUAUAUUCUGCCCUCUGUCUUGCUGUAGGUCCACAGGAAGUAUUUUCUUCAGUCUGUUACCAGAUUUCAGGCAGUUGUGUAGGGCCGUGUGAGGAAUGGAUCUUGUCUGGAUAACCAAAACAAGACAAAGAGACUGUGCAACAGAAACUGGAACUGGUGGUGUCGUGUUUUGGUACUGACUGGCCCACAUGACUGCCCUUGGCUUACUUAAGUUUGUUCCUAUCUGUAACAUCAAGGAAAUGGAUUAACAAGAGUAAAACAGAAACACUUCUGCUACAGCCUUGAUCUUGUUGGAGUUCCUAAUGGAAAAAGACCUCUUAUUAUCUAAUCCACUCAUCUGCAAAGAAGCCUCUUUGCAACUCCCUGAAGGACAGGACUUUUAUUUUGAGAUACAGUGAAACAGCAUUUCCUUGGUGUCUCAAGAGUGAUCUGAAUACACAAUCACACUGUGCCUGAGACUCAUUUCAGAGGAACUUUAUGUACACAAAGAGGUAAAUAAAUCAAGUCCUCAUGCCCUGCAGUUGUUACUGCUGUGGAUUGGUAUUCCCGUGUGUUGUGGCAAAGGGUCAGCUUCUUUUUGUAGCCAGGAGCAGCAGUCAAUGGCAUCUCCAAAACAGAAAACUUCAGAUCAACAGGGAACAAUGACACAAGGGUUCUAAAUGCCCUCACUUGUCUCACCACCCUAGGCUUCCUGUAUAUAUUCAAGGGAAACAAACAGCCACCAUUAAGACACAAUAUACCUCACCAGCCUACAGACACUUGUUUGGGAGGAGAUCGAUCAGGAUAUAUAUAUAUCAUGAAGUAUUGCAAAUAUUUCUCCGUUGAUCAUGAAAUUAGACCAAGUAGACUAUGUAAGAAAUAUUUAGGCACAUGACUUGCAGAUUGUCUUAAGCAAACCCAGCAGGCAAAACAUAUGCAAAUCAGAGGUAUGUAAAGCAACUGACAUAAUAAACAAAGCAUGGUAAUUAGAUGAAAGGGGCAACUGUCUCAUAUAUAUGAGGAGUUUUCUUCACUGCUCUCAGUGACACAUUAGAAAUAAUUUUGCACAAGUGCAUUAUGGAAUUAUGAUUCGAUUGAAAAGAUUAUUUUUUCUUCCUCUUGGAAAAAAGCCCAAUAGCUACACAUUAUGCGAAGCCUGUCAAGCUCUGAAUGGUGCUAGCACAGAAUAUUAUUCUUCAGAACACACUGACCAUUGUAAUGCAUACAAAUGUCUAUGAGCUGGGCUGAUGCAAGUGUGAAAUCAGUGUAGCUCAAAAGAUGAAUUCAGGUCUGGAAAAGCUGUGACCUGAAUUUGAAGCUGAUCUGUCACAUCAGCUGACCCAGUAAUGGAUGUUGUUACCUACCAAAUGCUUGCCUGGAAGUGGGCAGCAAGUCUGAUGGCUCUGGGAGCCCACAGGUACCACCACAGCUAGCCCUCAUAAAAGGAAUCCACAAAGGGACUGGAGGAGGGAGGUGGUGAGGAACAGGAAUGUCCUGGUCUUAGAAAAUAACCUCUGUGUGUCUGUUUGUAACCUUCUAUCAGUGAAGGCUAUUAUUUCAGAAAUAUCCCAGCGAGCUAACUACCGAGCUUCAAGAGCAUCUCCAUAUUAACACAUGGUUUUCAACAUCAAGUCCUAAAGUGCUUCAAUAAAGCUGCCAGUUAAAAGCUUCAGCCAAGAAGUGUCCUUUUUCUCUAGUAAAUGUUACAGUUUUUUCUUACAGAAUUCCAAAUCUUCGUUGACCUGAUCAUAUCAGCAGCAGGGGAUGAGCCAUGCUGUUCAUGGUGCUGCACUUGCUUGUUUUCACCUCUUGGAAGCAGAGGAGAAUAUGUGCUUUGGGAAUAAAAGACCCUUUCUUUCAACCUACAAGGCCAGGAGAACCCUUUCAGGAUUUAUUUUCAUAGCCCAAAGAAUUAUAUCCAAAACAUUCAAUGUAUAAUAAUAAGUACUACACACCUACUGCAGUCUGUGUGGCUGAAGCAGUCAUUAGUGCAGGAGGGAGCCUAACACCAUGUCUGGUCAGGCAAGGCCCUUCCCAGAAGUCAGGAGCUUUGAUAUGAGAAAAUGAUAGAACAUAACAAGGGACUGAAAACAAGCUAUGCAGAGCUGCUGCUCUUCAGAGGAUUAAU